UACGUAGGUGGCAAGCGUUGUCCGGAUUUACUGGGUGUAAAGGGCGUGCAGCCGGGGAGACAAGUCAGAUGUGAAAUCCACGGGCUCAACUCGUGAACUGCAUUUGAAACUGUUUCCCUUGAGUGUCGGAGAGGUAAUCGGAAUUCCUUGUGUAGCGGUGAAAUGCGUAGAUAUAAGGAAGAACACCAGUGGCGAAGGCGGAUUACUGGACGAUAACUGACGGUGAGGCGCGAAAGCGUGGGGAGCAAACAGG
This 253-nucleotide ribosomal RNA is filed under the name uncultured bacterium. RNAcentral's name for it is "partial 16S ribosomal RNA". It matches the Rfam family "Bacterial small subunit ribosomal RNA", at positions 524 to 776 of the family's 1533-position model. The record is from RNAcentral.